RNAcentral lists this transfer RNA (78 nucleotides) under Marmota monax (woodchuck). Its description in RNAcentral is "tRNA.Undet". Lineage: Eukaryota; Metazoa; Chordata; Mammalia; Rodentia; Sciuridae. The record is from RNAcentral.
UCUGGGAUAGAGCUCAGUGGUAGAGCACAUGUAAACACAUACAUGUGUGAGGCCUGGGUUCAAUCCCCAGCCCUAGGA